GUGUGACUAGAAUUUUUUUUUUUCUUUUUGUGGUGUCCAGGGUUCGAACUCUAGAUCUUGAAGAUAUUAUGCAUUGUCCUUACUAACUGAACUAACCUCAUGGAGACAAAAGUAUUUUAUUAUUUAAAAAAGUUGAUUUGUGUAACACCCCAGAUUUUGUUCCAAGACAUUACGCCUAAAUCAUUUUCUUUUUCUGAAAAAAAAACACUACUAUUUAUUUAUUUGAUCAAUAAUAAAUUCUUAGCAAAACCUAUACAAAAUGCUUGACAUAAUUUAAUUAAACUCUUAAACUAAUAUCCUUCAAAAGUUUCUACUAAAGUUACAAUUCAAUCAAAAACCCAAUUUUGUUCCCCGUACGCACUUCAAGCAAAAACUUCAAAGCAUAGACCAUCUCUUCUUUGGUACCUAAAAUGUUAGUGUAAGGGUCAAUUUCCUUAUCAAAAUUGGUUCAUACUCAAAGCACCGGAACAAUGUCAUGAAAUAGAUAAUAUCAAAACUUAUCAAUCAAAAAGAAUUAAGAAAAUUACAUUCAAGUCACAUGCUUCAAAGUAAGGUUCACACACAUCUUGUUUGCAAUGAAAUAGUUUUAAGUCAAUCAUCAAUCAUCAAUCACAUGUAUACAACAAACUCAAUGCAAUUAUGCAUAAGAUGCAUGCUUUUAUAACUAUAUGAUCCGGAUAUAACCCACCACAUAGGCACCACACAGAAAUAAUCCGCCACACAGAUGCAUACAUUAAUGCAUGAUCAUGAAAAUGAAGACUAAAUCCUGCCACAGUGGCACAACAAUGCAAUAUGAUAUUAUCCCGCCACUAAGGCACGACCAAGAAAUAUAUUAUUAACCCGCCACAGGCAAACGUAUAGUCAAAUAAAAUACCCGCCACUAAGGCAAACUCGUCAUAGAACUCAUAUUUCUAUAUUUUCAUUUAUUUAGUUGUUUUUUCUUCUCAACAUACAAGAAUCUCUAACUCUAAUUCAUAACAUCAUCCUAAUACUUAGUAUGGACAUAUGGGGAAAAAGCCCUUACCAUUGACGAUUUUCUUCCUAGUCGAGCAACUCUAUAUCAAGGCACAUCAAUCUUUGCUCCGCUAAGUCUAAACUUGGCUUUUCGUUGGACAAAGCAAGGAAAAGAUUAUGCGGUGGAUGAUCCAAAGCCUCCCCAAAUAUACCGUGGGUGAAUAGAACUCCAAUUAUAAGGCAGAAUUUGGUUCAAAAGUGAUGUCGGGAACUCCAAAAGUUUGGGCAUGAACAGGAAAUUUUAACCUACUGAUUGUGUAGUUUGGGAAUGAGCAUGGUUGGUACCAUGACCAUGUGAUAAUUCCAAAUAGAAAAAAGUGGUUUACGGCAUUAUCUCAAGAUGAAGAAAGGAAGCACUAAAUAAGGAGUAUUAUAUAUGUGUUUAGAGACAUAGGAAAAUUGAGAGAUAGUGGUGUGUUGAGAUAUGUUGAGAUAUAUCAAAGUGGAAGCAAAAUGCAAAGUAAUUAAACCUAAUUAGGCAACUCACAUGUGAAGGUAAGUAGCAGUUACAACACAUCCUACUUGUUUUUACUUAGUCAAAAAUUGGCCGGAUUACACCACUUCCUAUUCAAGUAGCAUACGUGUAUUUUUUAUCCCUCUACAAAUAUAUAAAUGCUGGAAACCAAUUAAUUAC
This 1648-nucleotide long non-coding RNA is filed under the name Medicago truncatula (barrel medic). Its description in RNAcentral is "long non-coding RNA (MTRU_LNC004384)". Lineage: Eukaryota; Viridiplantae; Streptophyta; Magnoliopsida; Fabales; Fabaceae. The record is from RNAcentral.